This 72-nucleotide transfer RNA is filed under the name Phrynosoma platyrhinos (Desert horned lizard). RNAcentral's name for it is "tRNA-OTHER". Lineage: Eukaryota; Metazoa; Chordata; Lepidosauria; Squamata; Phrynosomatidae. The record is from RNAcentral.
GCCAGUGUGGCGUAGUGGUUUGAGUGUUGGACUGCUACUCUGGGGACCAGGGUUCGAUCCCCAGCUUGGCCA